This 312-nucleotide long non-coding RNA is filed under the name Fukomys damarensis (Damara mole-rat). RNAcentral's name for it is "lncRNA (ENSFDAG00000033061.1)". Lineage: Eukaryota; Metazoa; Chordata; Mammalia; Rodentia; Bathyergidae. The record is from RNAcentral.
GUAUUUAUUUGACUUUCUGUUGUUAAAAUGAUUUCUACAGCACUGCGGUUAUUUACGACUACUGUCAGUACGAGGCGAUGAGAAGGCGGCAUUGGAGGAAAACAACAACAGCUGUAGGACGGGCUGCCGGGCCGCGCGUCUCGCUCGCCGGGUUCCUGCGCACCAGGGCCCAGGCGAGGCCUCUCCUGCAAAUCUGUCACGAGGCCACUGUACCAAUGACCAGCCAGGACUCGGAGAGGCCGAGCUACAAGCCAAGGUCACACAGCGAGCAACCAGCCAGGUGGGAAUCCAUUUCAUCUAGGCCCAGGCCCA